AUUGAACGCUGGCGGAAUGCUUUACACAUGCAAGUCGAACGGCAGCACGGGGCAACCUGGUGGCGAGUGGCGAACGGGUGAGUAAUAUAUCGGAACGUGCCCAAUCGUGGGGGAUAACGUAGCGAAAGUUACGCUAAUACCGCAUACGAUCUACGGAUGAAAGCGGGGGAUCGCAAGACCUCGCGCGAAUGGAGCGGCCGAUAUCAGAUUAGGUAGUUGGUGGGGUAAAGGCUCACCAAGCCAACGAUCUGUAGCUGGUCUGAGAGGACGACCAGCCACACUGGAACUGAGACACGGUCCAGACUCCUACGGGAGGCAGCAGUGGGGAAUUUUGGACAAUGGGCGAAAGCCUGACCCAGCCAUGCCGCGUGAAGGAAGACGGCCUUAUGGGUUGUAAACUUCUUUACUACGCGAAUAGAGGUUAGUACGAGAUACUAAUAGGAAGGUAGUGUAGUAAAAGCACCGGCUAACUCCGUGCCAGCAGCCGCGGUAAUCAUA
RNAcentral lists this ribosomal RNA (498 nucleotides) under uncultured bacterium. Its description in RNAcentral is "bacterial SSU rRNA". It matches the Rfam family "Bacterial small subunit ribosomal RNA", at positions 30 to 525 of the family's 1533-position model. The record is from RNAcentral.